RNAcentral lists this ribosomal RNA (420 nucleotides) under uncultured bacterium. RNAcentral's name for it is "bacterial SSU rRNA". It matches the Rfam family "Bacterial small subunit ribosomal RNA", at positions 28 to 440 of the family's 1533-position model. The record is from RNAcentral.
GACGAACGCUGGCGGCGCGCUUAACACAUGCAAGUCGAGCGAGAACCGGGGCUUCGGCCCCGGGGACAGCGGCGAACGGGUGAGUAACACGUGGAUAACCUGCCCUCGGCACCGGGAUAGCCCGGGGAAACUCGGAUUAAUACCGGAUGGCCCCUCCGACUCUCGAGUCGGUUGGGAAAAGGUAGCUUCGGCCUCUGGCCGAGGAUGGGUCCGCGGCGGAUUAGCUUGUUGGUGGGGUAAUGGCCCACCAAGGCGACGAUCCGUAGCUGGUCUGAGAGGACGAACAGCCACACUGGGACUGAGACACGGCUCAGACUCCUACGGGAGGCAGCAGUGGGGAAUAUUGCGCAAUGGACGAAAGUCUGACGCAGCGACGCCGCGUGUGGGAUGACGGUCUUCGGAUUGUAAACCACUGUCGGG